UACGGAGGGGGGUUAGCGUUGUUCGGAAUUACUGGGCGUAAAGCGCGCGUAGGCGGACUGGAAAGUUGGGGGUGAAAUCCCGGGGCUCAUCCCCGGAACGGCCUCCAAAACUAUCAGUCUGGAGUUCGAGAGAGGUGAGUGGAAUUCCGAGUGUAGAGGUGAAAUUCGUAGAUAUUCGGAGGAACACCAGUGGCGAAGGCGGCUCACUGGCUCGAUACUGACGCUGAGGUGCGAAAGCGUGGGGAGCAAACAGG
RNAcentral lists this ribosomal RNA (254 nucleotides) under uncultured bacterium. Its description in RNAcentral is "partial 16S ribosomal RNA". It matches the Rfam family "Bacterial small subunit ribosomal RNA", at positions 524 to 776 of the family's 1533-position model. The record is from RNAcentral.